This 221-nucleotide ribosomal RNA is filed under the name uncultured bacterium. RNAcentral describes it as "partial 16S ribosomal RNA". It matches the Rfam family "Bacterial small subunit ribosomal RNA", at positions 15 to 240 of the family's 1533-position model. The record is from RNAcentral.
GAUCAUGGCUCAGGAUGAACGCUGGCGGCGUGCCUAAUACAUGCAAGUCGAACGCUUCACUUCGGUGAAGAGUGGCGAACGGGUGAGUAAUACAUAAGUAACCUGGCAUAUACAGGGGGAUAACUGAUGGAAACGUCAGCUAAGGCCGCAUAGGUGUAGAGAUCGCAUGAACUCUAUAUGAAAAGUGCUACGGGACUGGUAGAUGAUGGACUUAUGGCGCA